Molecule: ribosomal RNA, 426 nt
Filed under: Helicarionidae sp. YK-2014a
Lineage: Eukaryota; Metazoa; Mollusca; Gastropoda; Stylommatophora; Helicarionidae
Description: partial 16S ribosomal RNA
Source: RNAcentral
AGUUUUAUGAAUUAAAUAUAAAAUUAAACCUGCCCAGUGAAAUUUUAACGGCCGCAGUACUUUGACUGUGCUAAGGUAGCAUAAUAAAUUGACUUUUAAUUGAGGUCUUGUAUGAAAGGGACAAUGAUGGUAUUUUGUCUUUAAAUUAUUUAUAUAAAUUACUAAAUAGGUGCAAAUACCUAUAAUAUUUUAAAAGACGAGAAGACCCUAGGAGUUAUAGGCAAAAUUUGUUGGGGCGACAUAAUAGAAAAAUUAAUAUUAUUUUAACCUAUUAAAUUAAUCAAACGAAAAUUUUUAAUAAAAAUUUAACUACCCUAGGGAUAACAGCAUAAUUUUCAAUCUAAAAGUUUGUGACCUCGAUGUUGGAUUAGGAAAAUAAAAUAUUAAAAAUAUUUUAUAAAUGUUCUGUUCGAACUUAUAACUCCU